Long non-coding RNA from Aquila chrysaetos chrysaetos, 2293 nucleotides. RefSeq lists it as uncharacterized. NCBI's taxonomy places the organism in Eukaryota, Metazoa, Chordata, Aves, Accipitriformes, Accipitridae. The record is from RefSeq and is a predicted model, not a curated record. The transcript has 5 exons.
UCCCUGAUUUCCUGUAAUGGAAAAAGAUUGCUCUGUGCCAAUGGAGCUUAAAGUAUCUUCCCGAGUUUGCUGAGACCUGUCGUGUUUGUUUACAGAAGGGACGUAAGGAGCAUCCAGGCAACACAGCAGAGAGAAACCUCUUGGGGUUCAGCUCGACCAAGAUGGGAGGAUGUGGCAGCAGCCGGCUCACUCUGAGGGAAAUGCACCUUCCCAGGCAUGAAUGGAGACCAAACGGGACGUGUUGGUGCAUCUGUCAGGAUUCCCACUCUGGAAAAGAAGAUCAGAGCAAAUGGGGACUGAGGAGAACAAAAGCUGACCCAAACCUUUGACCUAAACUUAACAUAAACCCAAAUGAAACCUUAGAGAAAUGUCUUGGACCAGCUGUGACUGAAUGGCACAAGGGCUGUUUCAUGUUCCUGAUACUGCCCAAAAUGUUCAGGGCAUUUUCCAGGUGGAAGGAAGUUAGAGCUAAAGAGACACAGAAGAGAGAGGGAGGGUAUUCAAGGCAGUAGGAGUGCUGAAAAGAUCCUUGCUUCUCCUGCUCUGUGGCAGAAGAUACUGCAUUAAGACUUGUAGAAGGCUUUGACAUGAGUAAUUAUAUGUCUGACUUCUCAAAUUUUAUGCCGGCAAAAAACACCCUCUGAACUCGUGUGUUGGGACCCAGCUUGUAAGCGUCUUGCUUUAUCCCACUCCAGCAUCAUCACCACCUCUUGUUUGAGAUGUGGAUUUUCAUCCUGUCCUUGCUGGUUAAGACCAGUGAAUCAUUUCAGGUAGAAUUUAAGGUAAAAUAUUUCUCAGUGUAUGUCUUUUCGUGCCACCUGUCUUCAGGUAAGUGGCUUCCUAUUGCUGUUGAACAUUCUAGGAUAGCAAGUUUCUGUAGGUGACCUUCUCCAGGACUUCUCGCCCUUACCAACCUCUUUUCCAUCUACACCCAAGGCGCUGACCCACGACUGAAGCACUGAGGGGCCAAACCUCCCAAGAUCGUCAUCUUCCCAACCACUCUGUGUGGUGACAUCUCGGCAUCACACAUGGAGCAGCAGUUUACAAGAGCCGCUAUGACUGACCAGAGAUCUCCCCCAUCCUGCUGUCACAUCGCUGCCUACGACCCAGCGACUGACGGCUGGCUCAGUGCCGCGCUGCUGAUUCGGCGGGUGCCCUCCCAAAACCGUCCGUACGGCGACGACGGUGAGCGCGCAACGCCCACGACAAGUAUUCAGCCAAAGGGAGCGCGAACCGAUGCGCUCGCUGUUUAAUAUGCAACGAAAAUGAGCCGCAGCUCAACUCGUUGCACGCAUCCAUUACGUGAGAGAAGCGUUAAUAUUUCUGUAAAUCCACCAGGGAAUUUAUUCAUCUCAGCCUCCAGCAACGGUGAAUUACCCUGGUGACUGGUGCAAGUCGGAAGCAUGUACAGCCAUAAUGAGAAAGUACCGUGGUUUCCUUUAAAGUAAUAUAGUGGUUAUUGCUGAUAGUAACUGCCUUUGUGAAGUAUUAACGUGUGGUUAUAGUGCAGUCAUGAAGCAAAAUUAUAGGGGCCUGCAGAAUGUUACUUAGCAACACUUGCUAAUGUUGGGGUGGUAAUGAAGAAAUGAAGUAAAAGAAAUACAGAGUAUAUUGGAGUCAUAAAAUAAACUGUGGUGUGACUUGAGAAAGUUGUUCUGAAGAUGAAGAUGUCUAUUUCUUUUUGCCAUGUGAAUAUGGUAGGAGAACUUAAGAGCUGGUUUGAAGAAACAUGUUUGAAAUAUCUAAGUAACAGAAACAAGAAUUAUGGGUUUGGUGGUUUGUUUGGGUUUUUUUGUUUGUUUUUUUUUAUAGUUGCUGGUGCCUGGGAAAAGCAUCAGAAUUGCUGGCCUUUUGAAGAUCCUCUCCCUGUCAUUUCAAACCCAUCCUGAGACACUAGCUGGCCAAUUAAAAUAACCUCUACUUUGGAAACUAGCAUUUGUCAGAGUUAAGAAUGAAGGCUUCUUUCUACUACAUCUAUUUUCCCCAUUCAUUCAUUUACAUAACUCCCUCCACUGUUAAUCAAGUGCCUGUAGGCAUAUCUCAAGAAAAGGGUAAGGCCAUAAAAAUAAAGGCAGACAUUUCUAGUACUAGAUGAACCUUCUACAUGUUGCAGAUCUGUCUCAGACACUUAUCUUUGUUUAUCUCCACCUGUUUAAAUUGGAAAACUCACAAAAAUCCAUCUCCCGUGAGAUUUCCAAGGUUUCUUGAUUUCAUUUGGGUCAGAACUUCCACAAGAGAUGCAUUUCUCAGAGCACUUCUGAGCUGCUGCCAGGAACAGGGAGUGCUGGACUGU